UUUAAGCCCGGUUCGGUCCGGUUUAAGCCCGGUUCGGUGCCGGUUUCGGUCUGGGCUGUCCCGGUUUGGCCCGGUUCGGUUCGCUUCGGGUCUGCUUCGGUCCCGGUCGGGCUCGCUUCGAUUCGGAUCGGCUCCGCUUUGGCCCGGUUCGCUCCGGUUCGGCUCCGGUUCGGCCCCGGCUCGGUUCGGCCCGGUUCGGCCCCGCUCGGCUCGGCUCGGCUCGGUUCGCCCCGGUCCCGGUCCCGGUCCCGGUCCCGGCGCCGCCGCCGCCACUUUUAAAAGUCGGUGGCGGGCGCGGGGCCCCCCCCGGCGCGGGGCCGGGCCAGCCAAUGGGCGCCUCCCGCCGCGCUGACGUCACCGCGGGGGGGGGUGAUGGCGUCAUUUUUUCCACAUUUAGCGGGGGGAUCCCGGGGGGGGGGGGGGGGUCGGGGUCUCCCCCCCCACGCCCCCUCCCACCCCCCACCUCCCCCCGUCUGUCUGUCUGUCCACCCGUCUGUCCGUGCCCGGCCGCCCCCCCCGGGCAUCGCCCUGGCCCCCCGUCCGUCCGCCCCCCUGUCCUGGCCGUCUGUCCGUCCAUCCCUCUGUCCGUCUGUCCUUCUGUCCAUCCUCCUGUCCUGUCUGUCCGUCCGUCCCCUUGUCCUGUCCGUCCCUCUGUCCAUCCUCCUGUCCCUCUGUCCGUCCCCCUGUCCGUCUGUCCACCCGUCUAGGCCCUCUCUGUCCGUCUGUCUGUCCCUGUAUCCCUCCCCCGUCCAUCCCUGUGUCCGUCCCUCUGUCCCCCUGUCUGUCCCUCUGUCCGUCCGUCCCUCUCCAUCCCCU
This 816-nucleotide long non-coding RNA is filed under the name Anas platyrhynchos platyrhynchos (common mallard). Its description in RNAcentral is "lncRNA (ENSAPLG00000021597.1)". The record is from RNAcentral. Lineage: Eukaryota; Metazoa; Chordata; Aves; Anseriformes; Anatidae.